RNAcentral lists this unclassified non-coding RNA (1755 nucleotides) under Bos taurus (domestic cattle). RNAcentral's name for it is "hypothetical protein LOC616898". The record is from RNAcentral. Lineage: Eukaryota; Metazoa; Chordata; Mammalia; Artiodactyla; Bovidae.
CGGCAGGUCGCGAAGACUUAGACCGCUUGUAUGCUGCCUGCGGAGUGCUCGCGCCGGCUGGUGGCCGAGCUGCGGGACGCCCUGGACUCCUGCGCCGAGCGACAACGGCAGCUGGAGCAGAGCCUGCGAGUCUCCCGGCGGCUGCUGCGGGUCUGGGAACCAGCCGAGACCCCAGCUCCGGAGCCAACCCCAGGGUCAGAAAUUAAUAAAGAGGCCCCAUCUUCAGCAUGCCCACCCAGCCCCCAAGACCUCAAGGAGCUGGAGCUUCUGACCCAGGCACUGGAGAAGGCAGUACGAGUGCGAAAAGGCCUCUCUAAGGCUGGAGAAGGAGUCAAGGCCCGCAGCCUGAAGUCUGGGUCUGCUUCCACUGCCACCAAAGCCUCUGCCCCACCCAGCACCUCACGCUGCACUGGCAGCCGUGCACCUGAGACAAAACCCCCCAGGGGUGUCCACCACCCCUGGGUGCCCGCAAAGGACCUCCCUGGGCGCAGGCUUCUGUUGGUGGGAGAUGGCGCCCAUAUGGGGCAGGGGGCCGGAGCCAACAAGCCUGAAGCAGGCCUCAGGGACCAGCAGAUUGUCCCCCAGGCUGCUUCUCAGGUUCCAGAAGCUUUUACGCUCAAGGAUAAGGGGGCCUUACUGCGGCUGCCAGAGGCCUUCAGGAAGGCGGCUUCCCGGAAUGCUAGGCUGCCCAUGUGUGCAUCCAGCCUGUGGGCCCAGCUCAGCUCGAUGCAGACCAGGGAUUCUGUGGAUGCUGCUGCUGCCACCGCCAAAACCCAGUUCCUCCAGAAAAUGCAGACAGCUGCAGGCCUGCCCAGCUCCAUGCUCAGCGCAGCAGAGGUGGGGCGCCUACAGAAGGCCUGCUCCAUGCUGAGGCUUCGAAUGAGGGAGGAGCUCACGGCAGACCCCAAGGACUGGACGCAGGAGUACCGCAGCCUGCUCACCCUGGAGGGGCUGCAGGCCCUGGCAGGGCAGUGUCUGCACAGGCUGCAAGAGCUGCAGGAGCUGCGCUCCGCGGUGGUGGAACAGCCGCAGGGGCCAUGGCCUGAGGGGCCCCCCAGGGCCGCCUUGCCCUGUGGAGGAGGCGCAGACCCAGUGUGGAGCCCCCAGCUGCUUCUCUACUCCAGCACCCAGGAGCUGCAGACCCUGGCAGCCCUCAGGCUACGGGUGGCCAUGCUGGACCAGCAGGUCCAUCUGGAAAAGGUCCUAAUGGCUGAGCUGCUCCCCCUGCUGAGCGAGCAGGAGCCCCUGGGGCGCCCCUGGCUGGCGCUGUGCCGGGCUGCACACUGCCUGCUCUGCGAGGGGGGCCAGCGCUUCCUCACCGUCCUGCAAGAUGAGCCUGCUGACCGACUGAGCCCUCCCUGAGGCCCGGCCCACCCCAACCCCCGAGCCCUGCAACAAGGCAGGCUGGCUCUGCCCCCAGCCCGACUGUUGUCAAGACACCCCCACUCAGUAAUUAAACGAAUUGGCAUCAAGGGCAUUUUCACUGGUGCAGUGAGUGGGGGGCCCAGAGGGGCCUGUGCCCCCUUGGGAAGCCAGGUUUCCACCCAGCGGGGACUGCCCCCGGCUCUUCCUGGGGAACUUAGGGCCUUCCUCACAUUUGCUGGUCAGGGUUUGGCUUUACUUGGCCUUCCAUAGGCUUGGGCGAACAGAGGCUGUGGGGACUUUGCUUAGCUACCUCUGUUUCUUCUUGCUGUACACUUAUAAGCCACUUGUGUGACAUUAAAACUGCUUUAGAAAGUAUGUAUUUUUAAUCAU